Molecule: ribosomal RNA, 468 nt
Filed under: uncultured bacterium
Lineage: Bacteria
Description: partial 16S ribosomal RNA
Rfam family: Bacterial small subunit ribosomal RNA
Source: RNAcentral
GACGAACGCUGGCGGCGUGCUUAACACAUGCAAGUCGAACGGAAAGGCCCUGCUUUUGUGGGGUGCUCGAGUGGCGAACGGGUGAGUAACCCGUGAGUAACCUGCCCUUGACUUUGGGAUAACUUCAGGAAACUGGUGCUAAUACCGGCUAGGAGCUCCUGCUGCAUGGUGGGGGUUGGAACGUUUCGGCGGUUGGGGAUGGACUCGCGGCUUAUCAGCUUGUUGGUGGGGUAGUGGCUUACCAAGGCUUUGACGGGUAGCCGGCCUGAGAGGGUGACCGGCCACAUUGGGACUGAGAGACGGCGCAGACGCCUACGGGAGGCAGCAGUGGGGAAUAUUGCACAAUGGGCGGAAGCCUGAUGCAGCAACGCCGCGUGCGGGAUGACGGCCUUCGGGUUGUAAACCGCUUUCGCCUGUGACGAAGCGUGAGUGACGGUAAUGGGUAAAGAAGCACCGGCUAACUACGUG